RNAcentral lists this unclassified non-coding RNA (200 nucleotides) under soil metagenome. Its description in RNAcentral is "partial contains internal transcribed spacer 2 and large subunit ribosomal RNA". The record is from RNAcentral.
UUCAACCCUCAAGCCCCCGGGCUUGGUGUUGGGGAUCGGCCGCCCUCCGGCGCGCCGGCCCCGAAAUCUAGUGGCGGUCUCGCUGUAGCCUCCUCUGCGUAGUAAUACACCUCGCACCGGAACGCAGCCUGGCCACGCCGUUAAACCCCCCACUUCUGAAGGUUGACCUCGGAUCAGGUAGGAAUACCCGCUGAACUUAA